Molecule: ribosomal RNA, 1512 nt
Filed under: metagenome
Description: bacterial LSU rRNA
Rfam family: Bacterial large subunit ribosomal RNA
Source: RNAcentral
UGAUGGACAACAGGUUGAUAUUCCUGUACCACCUCCUCACCAUUUGAGCAAUGGGGGGACGCAGGAGGAUAGGGUAAGCGCGGUAUUGGAUAUCCGCGUCCAAGCAGUUAGGCUGGGAAAUAGGCAAAUCCGUUUCCCAUAAGGCUGAGCUGUGAUGGCGAGCGAAAUAUAGUAGCGAAGUUCCUGAUUCCACACUGCCAAGAAAAGCCUCUAGCGAGGUGAGAGGUGCCCGUACCGCAAACCGUCACAGGUAGGCGAGGAGAGAAUCCUAAGGUGAUCGAGAGAACUCUCGUUAAGGAACUCGGCAAAAUGACCCCGUAACUUCGGGAGAAGGGGUGCUCUGUUAGGGUGCAAGCCCGAGAGAGCCGCAGUGAAUAGGCCCAGGCGACUGUUUAGCAAAAACACAGGUCUCUGCGAAGCCGUAAGGCGAAGUAUAGGGGCUGACGCCUGCCCGGUGCUGGAAGGUUAAGAGGAGCGCUUAGCGUAAGCGAAGGUGCGAAUUGAAGCCCCAGUAAACGGCGGCCGUAACAAUAACGGUCCUAAGGUAGCGAAAUUCCUUGUCGGGUAAGUUCCGACCCGCACGAAAGGCGCAACGAUCUGGGCACUGUCUCAACGAGAGACUCGGUGAAAUUAUAGUACCUGUGAAGAUGCAGGUUACCCGCGACAGGACGGAAAGACCCCGUGGAGCUUUACUGCAGCCUGAUAUUGAAUGUUGGUACAGCUUGUACAGGAUAGGUAGGAGCCUUGGAAACCGGAGCGCCAGCUUCGGUGGAGGCAUCGGUGGGAUACUACCCUGGCUGUAUUGACCUUCUAACCCGCCGCCCUUAUCGGGCGGGGAGACAGUGUCAGGUGGGCAGUUUGACUGGGGCGGUCGCCUCCUAAAAGGUAACGGAGGCGCCCAAAGGUUCCCUCAGAAUGGUUGGAAAUCAUUCGCAGAGUGUAAAGGCACAAGGGAGCUUGACUGCGAGACCUACAAGUCGAGCAGGGACGAAAGUCGGGCUUAGUGAUCCGGUGGUUCCGCAUGGAAGGGCCAUCGCUCAACGGAUAAAAGCUACCCCGGGGAUAACAGGCUUAUCUCCCCCAAGAGUCCACAUCGACGGGGAAGUUUGGCACCUCGAUGUCGGCUCAUCGCAUCCUGGGGCUGUAGUCGGUCCCAAGGGUUGGGCUGUUCGCCCAUUAAAGCGGUACGCGAGCUGGGUUCAGAACGUCGUGAGACAGUUCGGUCCCUAUCCGUCGCGGGCGCAGGAAAUUUGAGAGGAGCUGUCCAUAGUACGAGAGGACCGGGAUGGACGCACCGCUGGUGUACCAGUUGUUCUGCCAAGGGCAUCGCUGGGUAGCUAUGUGCGGACGGGAUAAGUGCUGAAAGCAUCUAAGCAUGAAGCCCCCCUCAAGAUGAGAUUUCCCAUUCCGCAAGGAAGUAAGAUCCCUGAAAGAUGAUCAGGUUGAUAGGUCUGAGGUGGAAGUGUGGCAACACAUGGAGCUGACAGAUACUAAUCGAUCGAGGACUUAACC